UCCGUAGGUGAACCUGCGGAGGGAUCAUUACCGAGUUUACAACUCCCAAACCCCUGUGAACAUACCAAUUGUUGCCUCGGCGGAUCAGCCCGCUCCCGGUAAAACGGGACGGCCCGCCAGAGGACCCCUAAACUCUGUUUCUAUAUGUAACUUCUGAGUAAAACCAUAAAUAAAUCAAAACUUUCAACAACGGAUCUCUUGGUUCUGGCAUCGAUGAAGAACGCAGCAAAAUGCGAUAAGUAAUGUGAAUUGCAGAAUUCAGUGAAUCAUCGAAUCUUUGAACGCACAUUGCGCCCGCCAGUAUUCUGGCGGGCAUGCCUGUUCGAGCGUCAUUUCAACCCUCAAGCCCAGCUUGGUGUUGGGACUCGCGAGUCAAAUCGCGUUCCCCAAAUUGAUUGGCGGUCACGUCGAGCUUCCAUAGCGUAGUAGUAAAACCCUCGUUACUGGUAAUCGUCGCGGCCACUCCGUUAAACCCCAACUUCUGAAUGUUGACCUCGGAUCAGGUAGGAAUACCCGCUGAACUUAAGCAUAUCAAUAAGCGGAGGA
Molecule: ribosomal RNA, 546 nt
Filed under: Fusarium sp. FsA30APW-T
Lineage: Eukaryota; Fungi; Ascomycota; Sordariomycetes; Hypocreales; Nectriaceae
Description: eukaryotic LSU rRNA
Rfam family: 5.8S ribosomal RNA (bases 179-332)
Source: RNAcentral